CAGAGAAAAUUAACAGAGCCUAAGGGAUGUAGUAAAAGAUAAAAAAUGUGGUGAAUAGAAAGAUAGAUGAAAAGGAACAAAAAGUGGUACUAUAGAGAAAGAAUGUAGAUGUGAGAGACUACAAAGCCAGAAGAAGGUAAAAAAACAACAACAUGACAACUUGAGAAAGGGCUAUACAGAUGAGUCCCAAUUUACUGAUGGGAAGGAUUCCUUUGGUCAUACCUCUGAGGUUCCCCAUACCUGCACUGAGCAUAGCAUGGAUGAACCCCAUAUUGGAUGUGUUGCAGAGGCUGGACAGGACAAAAUGGCAAAGGGAGAUGAAUUUUCUCUCUGAAUCUCAAGAUUACUCAAGCUAUCAACUAUAAGGAUAGCCUGAAGAUACUGACAAGAAAGAAGCCUUCCAGAUGUCAAUUAUUCUCUUUUUUCCAAAACUCAAUUCCCUAUAGUGCUCUUCCAACAGAAAAUACUUCAUAAAUGUUUGUUGAAUGAUCCCUAUGCCUGUAAUUAAAUUCUUUAAAAAAUGAAGAAUGAUAAAAUGUUUUCUUAAGGUCGGACCCAUGUUUUGUUGUAAGUGCGAUACUUUAAAGACCAUAGAU
Molecule: long non-coding RNA, 596 nt
Filed under: Monodelphis domestica (gray short-tailed opossum)
Lineage: Eukaryota; Metazoa; Chordata; Mammalia; Didelphimorphia; Didelphidae
Description: lncRNA (ENSMODG00000037710.1)
Source: RNAcentral